AGGCGAACCGGGGGAACUGAAACAUCUAAGUACCCCGAGGAAAAGAAAUCAACCGAGAUUCCCCCAGUAGCGGCGAGCGAACGGGGAGGAGCCCAGAGCCUGAAUCAGCAUGUGUGUUAGUGGAAGCGUCUGGAAAGGCGCGCGAUACAGGGUGACAGCCCCGUACACAAAAGCGCAUGUGCUGUGAGCUCGAUGAGUAGGGCGGGACACGUGGUAUCCUGUCUGAAUAUGGGGGGACCAUCCUCCAAGGCUAAAUACUCCUGACUGACCGAUAGUGAACCAGUACCGUGAGGGAAAGGCGAAAAGAACCCCGGCGAGGGGAGUGAAAAAGAACCUGAAACCGU
RNAcentral lists this ribosomal RNA (344 nucleotides) under Salmonella enterica. RNAcentral describes it as "partial 23S ribosomal RNA". It matches the Rfam family "Bacterial large subunit ribosomal RNA", at positions 177 to 559 of the family's 2925-position model. RNAcentral also lists the same sequence under 2 other names. The record is from RNAcentral. Lineage: Bacteria; Pseudomonadati; Pseudomonadota; Gammaproteobacteria; Enterobacterales; Enterobacteriaceae.